UCUACGGGCGGCAGCAGUGGGGAAUAUUGGACAAUGGGCGAAAGCCUGAUCCAGCCAUGCCGCGUGUGUGAAGAAGGCCUUCGGGUUGUAAAGUACUUUCAGUGGGGAAGAAAGCCUUGGGGCUAAUACCCUCGAGGAAGGACAUCACCCACAGAAGAAGCACCGGCUAACUCCGUGCCAGCAGCCGCGGUAAUACGGAGGGUGCGAGUGUUAAUCGGAAUUACUGGGCGUAAAGCGCGCGUAGGCGGUCUGAUAAGCCGGUUGUGAAAGCCCCGGGCUCAACCUGGGAACGGCAUCCGGAACUGUCAGGCUAGAGUGCAGGAGAGGAAGGUAGAAUUCCCGGUGUAGCGGUGAAAUGCGUAGAGAUCGGGAGGAAUACCAGUGGCGAAGGCGGCCUUCUGGACUGACACUGACGCUGAGGUGCGAAAGCGUGGGUAGCAAACAGGAUUAGAUACCCCAGUAGUC
This 465-nucleotide ribosomal RNA is filed under the name Vreelandella stevensii. RNAcentral describes it as "partial 16S ribosomal RNA". It matches the Rfam family "Bacterial small subunit ribosomal RNA", at positions 338 to 795 of the family's 1533-position model. Lineage: Bacteria; Pseudomonadati; Pseudomonadota; Gammaproteobacteria; Oceanospirillales; Halomonadaceae. The record is from RNAcentral.